This 435-nucleotide ribosomal RNA is filed under the name uncultured bacterium. RNAcentral's name for it is "partial 16S ribosomal RNA". It matches the Rfam family "Bacterial small subunit ribosomal RNA", at positions 30 to 507 of the family's 1533-position model. The record is from RNAcentral.
AGCGAACGCUGGCGGCAGGCUUAACACAUGCAAGUCGAGCGGGAACUUUCGGGUGUCAGCGGCGGACGGGUGAGUGACGCGGUGAAACGUACGCUCGGGUUCGGAAUAACGCAGGGAAACUUCAGCUACUAACGGAUACGCACAUUUGAGGGGAGGCUUGCUGCCGGGGGCGCGGCUGUAGUCUGUUUACGGAGGUGGUAGGGUAAGCGCUUACCAAGGUGGCGAGUGGUAGCUGGUCUGAGAGAGUGACCAGCCACGCUGGGACUGGGACACGGCCCAGACUCCUACGCAAGGGAGGAGUGGGUAAUAUUGGACAAUGGGCGCAAGCCUGAUCCAGCCAUGCCGGGUAAGUGAUGAAGGCCGUAGGGUAGUAAAUCUGUUUUAUCCGGGACGAUAAUGACGGUACCGGAGGAAUAAGCCCCGGCUAACUACGUG